Molecule: ribosomal RNA, 465 nt
Filed under: Vreelandella stevensii
Lineage: Bacteria; Pseudomonadati; Pseudomonadota; Gammaproteobacteria; Oceanospirillales; Halomonadaceae
Description: partial 16S ribosomal RNA
Rfam family: Bacterial small subunit ribosomal RNA
Source: RNAcentral
CCUACGGGGGGCAGCAGUGGGGAAUAUUGGACAAUGGGGGCAACCCUGAUCCAGCCAUGCCGCGUGUGUGAAGAAGGCCCUCGGGUUGUAAAGCACUUUCAGUGAGGAAGAACGCCUGGUGGUUAAUACCCAUCAGGAAAGACAUCACUCACAGAAGAAGCACCGGCUAACUCCGUGCCAGCAGCCGCGGUAAUACAGAGGGUGCGAGCGUUAAUCGGAAUUACUGGGCGUAAAGCGCGCGUAGGUGGCUUGAUAAGCCGGUUGUGAAAGCCCCGGGCUCAACCUGGGAACGGCAUCCGGAACUGUCAAGCUAGAGUGCAGGAGAGGAAGGUAGAAUUCCCGGUGUAGCGGUGAAAUGCGUAGAGAUCGGGAGGAAUACCAGUGGCGAAGGCGGCCUUCUGGACUGACACUGACACUGAGGUGCGAAAGCGUGGGUAGCAAACAGGAUUAGAUACCCCUGUAGUC